RNAcentral lists this ribosomal RNA (1443 nucleotides) under uncultured organism. RNAcentral's name for it is "SSU rRNA". It matches the Rfam family "Bacterial small subunit ribosomal RNA". The record is from RNAcentral.
GCUACAGGCUUAACACAUGCAAGUCGAGGGGCAGCAUGGUCUUAGCUUGCUAAGGCCGAUGGCGACCGGCGCACGGGUGAGUAACACGUAUCCAACCUGCCGUCUACUCUUGGACAGCCUUCUGAAAGGAAGAUUAAUACAAGAUGGCAUCAUGAGUCCGCAUGUUCACAUGAUUAAAGGUAUUCCGGUAGACGAUGGGGAUGCGUUCCAUUAGAUAGUAGGCGGGGUAACGGCCCACCUAGUCUUCGAUGGAUAGGGGUUCUGAGAGGAAGGUCCCCCACAUUGGAACUGAGACACGGUCCAAACUCCUACGGGAGGCAGCAGUGAGGAAUAUUGGUCAAUGGGCGAGAGCCUGAACCAGCCAAGUAGCGUGAAGGAUGACUGCCCUAUGGGUUGUAAACUUCUUUUAUAAAGGAAUAAAGUCGGGUAUGGAUACCCGUUUGCAUGUACUUUAUGAAUAAGGAUCGGCUAACUCCGUGCCAGCAGCCGCGGUAAUACGGAGGAUCCGAGCGUUAUCCGGAUUUAUUGGGUUUAAAGGGAGCGUAGAUGGAUGUUUAAGUCAGUUGUGAAAGUUUGCGGCUCAACCGUAAAAUUGCAGUUGAUACUGGAUAUCUUGAGUGCAGUUGAGGCAGGCGGAAUUCGUGGUGUAGCGGUGAAAUGCUUAGAUAUCACGAAGAACUCCGAUUGCGAAGGCAGCCUGCUAAGCUGCAACUGACAUUGAGGCUCGAAAGUGUGGGUAUCAAACAGGAUUAGAUACCCUGGUAGUCCACACGGUAAACGAUGAAUACUCGCUGUUUGUGAUAUACUGCAAGCGGCCAAGCGAAAGCGUUAAGUAUUCCACCUGGGGAGUACGCCGGCAACGGUGAAACUCAAAGGAAUUGACGGGGGCCCGCACAAGCGGAGGAACAUGUGGUUUAAUUCGAUGAUACGCGAGGAACCUUACCCGGGCUUAAAUUGCAGAUGAAUUACGGUGAAAGCCGUAAGCCGCAAGGCAUCUGUGAAGGUGCUGCAUGGUUGUCGUCAGCUCGUGCCGUGAGGUGUCGGCUUAAGUGCCAUAACGAGCGCAACCCUUGUUGUCAGUUACUAACAGGUUCCGCUGAGGACUCUGACAAGACUGCCAUCGUAAGAUGUGAGGAAGGUGGGGAUGACGUCAAAUCAGCACGGCCCUUACGUCCGGGGCUACACACGUGUUACAAUGGGGGGUACAGAGGGCCGCUACCACGCGAGUGGAUGCCAAUCCCCAAAACCUCUCUCAGUUCGGACUGGAGUCUGCAACCCGACUCCACGAAGCUGGAUUCGCUAGUAAUCGCGCAUCAGCCACGGCGCGGUGAAUACGUUCCCGGGCCUUGUACACACCGCCCGUCAAGCCAUGGGAGCCGGGGGUACCUGAAGUGCGUAACCGCGAGGAGCGCCCUAGGGUAAAACUGGUGACUGGGGCUAAGU